This 449-nucleotide ribosomal RNA is filed under the name uncultured bacterium. Its description in RNAcentral is "bacterial SSU rRNA". It matches the Rfam family "Bacterial small subunit ribosomal RNA", at positions 28 to 478 of the family's 1533-position model. The record is from RNAcentral.
GAUGAACGCUGGCGGCGUGCCUAACACAUGCAAGUCGAGCGAGAAGCUCAUGACGGACGCUUCGGUUGAAGUCACGAGUGGAAAGCGGCGGACGGGUGAGUAACGCGUAGGCAACCUGCCCUUUGCAGAGGGAUAGCCUCGGGAAACCGGGAUUAAAACCUCAUAAUACCGCAGUGAGACAUCUCGCGGCGGUCAAAGAUUUAUCGGCAAAGGAUGGGCCUGCGUCUGAUUAGUUAGUUGGUGGGGUAACGGCCUACCAAGGCGACGAUCAGUAGCCGACCUGAGAGGGUGAUCGGCCACAUUGGAACUGAGACACGGUCCAAACUCCUACGGGAGGCAGCAGUGGGGAAUAUUGCACAAUGGGGGAAACCCUGAUGCAGCAACGCCGCGUGAAGGAUGAAGGCCUUUGGGUCGUAAACUUCUGUUCUAAGGGAAGAUAGUGACGGUAC